RNAcentral lists this ribosomal RNA (468 nucleotides) under uncultured bacterium. Its description in RNAcentral is "partial 16S ribosomal RNA". It matches the Rfam family "Bacterial small subunit ribosomal RNA", at positions 28 to 507 of the family's 1533-position model. The record is from RNAcentral.
GACGAACGCUGGCGGCGUGCUUAACACAUGCAAGUCGAACGGAAAGGCCCUGCUUUUGUGGGGUGCUCGAGUGGCGAACGGGUGAGUAACACGUGAGUAACCUGCCCUUGACUUUGGGAUAACUUCAGGAAAAUGGGGCUAAUACAGGAUAGGAGCUCCUGCUGCAUGGUGGGGGUUGGAAAGUUUCGGCGGUUGGGGAUGGACUCGCGGCUUAUCAGCUUGUUGGUGGGGUAGUGGCUUACCAAGGCUUUGACGGGUAGCCGGCCUGGGAGGGUGACCGGCCACAUUGGGACUGAGGUACGGCCCAGACUCCUACGGGAGGCAGCAGUGGGGAAUAUUGCACAAUGGGCGGAAGCCUGAUGCAGCAACGCCGCGUGCGGGAUGACGGCCUUCGGGUUGUAAACCGCUUUCGCCUGUGACGAAGCGUGAGUGACGGUAAUGGGUAAAGAAGCACCGGCUAACUACGUG